CAGCAGCCGCGGUAAUACGGAGGGGGCUAGCGUUGUUCGGAAUUACUGGGCGUAAAGCGCACGUAGGCGGAUCGAUCAGUCAGGGGUGAAAUCCCAGAGCUCAACUCUGGAACUGCCUUUGAUACUGUCGAUCUGGAGUAUGGAAGAGGUGAGUGGAAUUCCGAGUGUAGAGGUGAAAUUCGUAGAUAUUCGGAGGAACACCAGUGGCGAAGGCGGCUCACUGGUCCAUUACUGACGCUGAGGUGCGAAAGCGUGGGGAGCAAACAGGAUUAGAUACCCCCGUAGUCCCUGUCUCUUAUAC
RNAcentral lists this ribosomal RNA (301 nucleotides) under uncultured bacterium. RNAcentral's name for it is "partial 16S ribosomal RNA". It matches the Rfam family "Bacterial small subunit ribosomal RNA", at positions 509 to 807 of the family's 1533-position model. The record is from RNAcentral.